AUUGAACGCUGGCGGCAUGCCUUANACAUGCAAGUCGAACGGCAGCACGGGAGCAAUCCUGGUGGCGAGUGGCGAACGGGUGAGUAAUAUAUCGGAACGUGCCCAGUCGUGGGGGAUAACGUAGCGAAAGCUACGCUAAUACCGCAUACGAUCUAUGGAUGAAAGCGGGGGAUCGCAAGACCUCGCGCGAUUGGAGCGGCCGAUAUCAGAUUAGGUAGUUGGUGAGGUAAAGGCUCACCAAGCCGACGAUCUGUAGCUGGUCUGAGAGGACGACCAGCCACACUGGGACUGAGACACGGCCCAGACUCCUACGGGAGGCAGCAGUGGGGAAUUUUGGACAAUGGGCGCAAGCCUGAUCCAGCAAUGCCGCGUGCAGGAUGAAGGCCUUCGGGUUGUAAACUGCUUUUGUACGGAACGGAACGGUGAGCUCUAAUACAGUUUGCUAAUGACGGUACCGUAAGAAUAAGCACCGGCUAACUACGUG
Molecule: ribosomal RNA, 484 nt
Filed under: uncultured bacterium
Lineage: Bacteria
Description: bacterial SSU rRNA
Rfam family: Bacterial small subunit ribosomal RNA
Source: RNAcentral